This 103-nucleotide small RNA is filed under the name Marmota monax (woodchuck). Lineage: Eukaryota; Metazoa; Chordata; Mammalia; Rodentia; Sciuridae. The record is from RNAcentral.
GCUGGGUGUAGUGUGGCACAUGCCUGUAAUCCCAGCUGCUCAGGAGGCUGAGGCAGGAGGAUCACAAGGCCAACCUCUGCCAUUUAGUGAGAUCCUGUCUCAA